RNAcentral lists this unclassified non-coding RNA (284 nucleotides) under plant metagenome. Its description in RNAcentral is "partial contains small subunit ribosomal RNA and internal transcribed spacer 1". The stretch from base 1 to 53 matches the Rfam family "Eukaryotic small subunit ribosomal RNA", at positions 1778 to 1831 of the family's 1831-position model. The record is from RNAcentral.
GGAAGUAAAAGCGUAACAAGGUUUCCGUAGGUGAACCUGCGGUAGGAUCAUUAUUGUAUAACCGAGGUGCGAGGGCCGUCGCUGACCCGAAAGGUCGUGCACGCCCGAGUGCCCUCACAAACAUCCAUCUCACCCCUAUGUGCACCACCGCGUGGGUCCCCCUUUGGCUUGUUCGGAGGGGGGCUUACGUUUUCACACAAACUUUGUAUGCAGUGUAGAAUGUAUUUUUUGUUUUUGCGAUCACGCAAUCAAUACAACUUUCAACAGCGGAUCUCUUGGCUCUC